Molecule: ribosomal RNA, 301 nt
Filed under: uncultured bacterium
Lineage: Bacteria
Description: partial 16S ribosomal RNA
Rfam family: Bacterial small subunit ribosomal RNA
Source: RNAcentral
CAGCCGCCGCGGGAAUACAGAGGGUGCGAGCGUUAAUCGGAUUUACUGGGCGUAAAGCGUGCGUAGGCGGCUAAUUGAGUCGGAUGUGAAAUCCCCGAGCUUAACUUGGGAAUUGCAUUCGAUACUGGUUAGCUAGAGUGUGGGAGAGGAUGGUAGUAUUCCAGGUGUAGCGGUGAAAUGCGUAGAGAUCUGGAGGAAUACCGAUGGCGAAGGCAGCCAUCUGGCCUAACACUGACGCUGAGGUACGAAAGCAUGGGGAGCAAACAGGAUUAGAUACCCCAGUAGUCCCUGUCUCUUAUAC